UCGUACCCUGCUCCAGAGCUUAAAUGAGCGACGGAGACCCAAUGGAACCUAGAUGUUCCCCCACACUCACAAAACUUUUCAAGUGUUUUCUGUCUUUCACUGUAGACGCAAAAUUACUCUAGACCCCUCAUUUGCACCGGCAAAAAUUGGUACCCGAUAUUGUAGUUUUUUGAAGGGUCUCGAAAAAAAAAUAAGUUUGUAGGAUCAGCAAAACUCAGAUUUCACUCUAGAUUUGAUUUUCAAGUUCCUACAAAACAGGAUUUGGCAAAGAAUUGGAAAAAUAUCACUCCAAAUUUGUUUUCUACAACUGCAAAUGUAGAUAGGCAAGUAUAGGUGGAAGAGAAGAUGCAGUAGGCUUGGGAAAGAGAAGAGGGUGGUGGCGUUGUGGCCGUCGCCGACAAGGAGAAAAAGAAGAUGAUGAAGACAGGUGGAUGUAGGUGUAGGUGUAGGUGUGGGUGUGGGUAGAAGGGCAGAUUUAUUUUCUUUCCAUUUUUUUCCCAGUUUUUGGCUUUUAGUUUAGUUGCUCUAAUUGUUAACGAUAUUUGGAAAAAUGUAAAUAUACCAUUUUAUCCUUUUCAAUUUGGUAAAGAGUGGUCAAAUUUUUAUUUUUCAGGUUAACUAACAAUAGUAUAGACGGUUUGGACCUCUAUUGCAUAUUUUUAAAAGGUUAGAGAUCGCUGCUGCAAUUUUUCCUAAAAUUUAUUCCAGAAAAAUUAUUUUCCUUAUUUUUUAGAAAAGUAUGAUUAUGUGACUAAUUUUUUAAAAAUAUUUUUAAUGUCAAUCAAAUAUUUUAAAAGUAAAAAUUUGAAUAAAAAAUGACAUUUUUUUAAAAAAAUAAUAAUAAUAAUAAUAAAAUUCACCGUUCAUUAGAAGUAAUUAGACAUGGAAAGUUUACAAGUAAAGGAAAAAUCACUCAUCCAAUAUAUUAUUAAUAUAAAAAUUUACUUAAAAGUAGAUUUAGGGUAUUUCUAAACUUAGUCAAUUAUGUUCUAUUUCACAAACAAUUCAAAGUAUAGUGCUGCUCAAGAUUAAGCAUUUCAAUUGAACCUUAACAUUGGAUUAAAACAUAAUAAUAAUAAUAAUAAUAAAUCAAUCAAUUAUCAUAAGUGCGGCACUCAUCAGUCUCCGGAUUUUCCUUGCAGUAAUUCUCCAAAGGGUCAGAUUCUCUCUUCUUGUCCUUUGCAUGGCUCGCUGCAGCACUUAGCUCCUCAACCUCGUCCCACGCGGCCGCGCACUCGCCGCUAACGGGGUUCUCGGCGCAGGCCUCCUCCGCAGUCUUAAUGCUCUCCG
Molecule: long non-coding RNA, 1290 nt
Filed under: Olea europaea (common olive)
Lineage: Eukaryota; Viridiplantae; Streptophyta; Magnoliopsida; Lamiales; Oleaceae
Description: long non-coding RNA (OEUR_LNC007779)
Source: RNAcentral